UACGUAUGGUGCAAGCGUUAUCCGGAUUUACUGGGUGUAAAGGGAGCGUAGACGGCAGGGCAAGUCUGGAGUGAAAGGCAGGGGCCCAACCCCUGGACUGCUCUGGAAACUGUCCGGCUGGAGUGCAGGAGAGGUAAGUGGAAUUCUUAGUGUAGCGGUGAAAUGCGUAGAUAUUAGGAGGAACACCAGUGGCGAAGGCGGCUUACUGGACUGUAACUGACGUUGAGGCUCGAAAGCGUGGGGAGCAAACAGG
RNAcentral lists this ribosomal RNA (253 nucleotides) under uncultured bacterium. Its description in RNAcentral is "partial 16S ribosomal RNA". It matches the Rfam family "Bacterial small subunit ribosomal RNA", at positions 524 to 776 of the family's 1533-position model. The record is from RNAcentral.